Molecule: long non-coding RNA, 381 nt
Organism: Mauremys mutica (yellowpond turtle)
Lineage: Eukaryota; Metazoa; Chordata; Testudines; Geoemydidae
Exons: 3
Source: RefSeq, a predicted model, not a curated record
CACAGAUACAGGAGUGACACAGGAGAAUGCCAUCAUGUAUGCCAUCUAUGAACCAAGCAGAUCAGGCUGUAGGAGGAGGGCUGAAAUGAAGCUGGCUGAUGAGAUCCUUCAUGUCUAGGAAUCAGUCCAGAGAGUCAUUCCCUUCAACCUUAUUCGGUCCAGUGUCAUUUUUUAAGAGAGGCAACAAAUUAUCUACUGCCACAGCUCAUGCCUUUUUCUACAAUGAUUUCAACCCAGGCGUGAGGAGAAAGAAACUCAUGACCAGAUUCUGGCCCCAUGUUCCAUCCUAUUUAUGUUGCUUUGAUGGAACAAAAGGUUUCUCUAAUGGGCCAGCUAGAGAUUCUCCUCAUGAAGGAAAAAAGUCUGUAUCACUGACUCUCA